Amblyraja radiata (thorny skate) is the source of this 70-nucleotide long non-coding RNA. RefSeq lists it as uncharacterized. The transcript has 3 exons. The record is from RefSeq and is a predicted model, not a curated record. Lineage: Eukaryota; Metazoa; Chordata; Chondrichthyes; Rajiformes; Rajidae.
CGUUGUUAACUGGGACGGCACGGCGGCGCAGGGCAGGGUUGCUGCCUUACAGCGCUUGCAGCGCCGAACA